RNAcentral lists this ribosomal RNA (433 nucleotides) under uncultured bacterium. Its description in RNAcentral is "partial 16S ribosomal RNA". It matches the Rfam family "Bacterial small subunit ribosomal RNA", at positions 29 to 507 of the family's 1533-position model. The record is from RNAcentral.
AACGAACGCUGGCGGCAUGCCUAACACAUGCAAGUCGAACGAGACCUUCGGGUCUAGUGGCGCACGGGUGCGUAACGCGUUGGAACCUGCCCUUAGGUUCGGAAUAACUCCCCGAAAGGGGUGCUAAUACCGGAUAAUGUCUUCGGACCAAAGAUUUAUCGCCUUUGGAUGGGCCCGCGUUGGAUUAGCUAGUUGGUAGGGUAAAAGCCUACCAAGGCGACGAUCCAUAGCUGGUCUGAGAGGAUGAUCAGCCACACUGGGACUGAGACACGGCCCAGACUCCUGCGGGAGGCAGCAGUGGGGAAUAUUGGACAAUGGGCGAAAGCCUGAUCCAGCAAUGCCGCGUGAGUGAUGAAGGCCUUAGGGUUGUAAAGCUCUUUUACCCGGGAUGAUAAUGACAGUACCGGGAGAAUAAGCUCCGGCUAACUCCGUG